UAACGCGUCGGCGGCGUACACCGCAGUGAGCGGUACAGAGAGAACUUGCUUCUUUGCUGACGAGCGGCGGACGGGUGAGUACGCGUAGGAAUCUACCUAUUAGUGGGGGAUAAGCCAGAGAAAUUUGGUCUAAUACCGCAUACGCCCUACGGGGGAAAGGAGGGGAUCUUCGGACCUUUCGCUAUUAGAUGGGCCUGCGUAAGAUUAGCUAGUUGGUGAGGUAAUGGCUCACCAAGGCGACGAUCUUUAGCUGGUCUGAGAGGAUGAUCAGCCACACUGGGACUGAGACACGGCCCAGACUCCUACGGGAGGCAGCAGUGGGGAAUAUUGGACAAUGGGGGGAACCCUGAUCCAGCCAUGCCGCGUGUGUGAAGAAGGCCUUCGGGUUGUAAAGCACUUUCAGAUGUGAGGAAAGGUGAGUAGUUAAUACCUGCUUACUGUGACGUUAGCAUCAGAAGAAGGACCGGCUAACUCCGUGCCAGCAGCCGCGGUAAUACGGAGGGUCCGAGCGUUAAUCGGAAUUACUGGGCGUAAGCGCGCGUAGGUGGUUCUGUCAGUCAGAUGUGAAAGCCCAGGGCUCAACCUUGGAACUGCACCUGA
RNAcentral lists this ribosomal RNA (600 nucleotides) under uncultured Neptunomonas sp. RNAcentral's name for it is "bacterial SSU rRNA". It matches the Rfam family "Bacterial small subunit ribosomal RNA", at positions 31 to 630 of the family's 1533-position model. Lineage: Bacteria; Pseudomonadati; Pseudomonadota; Gammaproteobacteria; Oceanospirillales; Oceanospirillaceae. The record is from RNAcentral.